GCCUGGUUGGCUCAGUCAGUUAAGCGUCCGACUUCAGCUCAGGUCAUGAUCUCAUGGUUUGUGGGUUCAAGCCCCACAUGGGGCU
This 85-nucleotide transfer RNA is filed under the name Felis catus (domestic cat). It matches the Rfam family "tRNA". Rfam says of the family: Transfer RNA (tRNA) molecules are approximately 80 nucleotides in length. The record is from Rfam by way of RNAcentral. Lineage: Eukaryota; Metazoa; Chordata; Mammalia; Carnivora; Felidae.